CUGCUCAAUGAAUUAUUAUUUAAAUAGCUGCAGUAUCCUAACUGUACAAAGGUAGCAUAAUCAUUUGUCUUUUUAUUAAAGUCUGGAAUGAAAGAUUGAAUGAAAUAAAAUCUGUCUCAAAUUAAUUAAAAUUUAAAAUUUAUUUUAAGUAAAAAUUCUUAAAUUUAAUAAAAAGACGAGAAGACCCUAUAGAAUUUUAUAAUAUAAUAUUAUGAAUUUAAUUAAAUAAAUAACUAAUAAUAUUAAAUUAUUUUAUUGGGGUGAUAUAAAAAUUUGAAAAAUUUUUUAUUUAAUCUUUACAUUAUAAAUGAAUUAUUUUAUCCAAUAUAAUUGAAUAAAUAUUAAAUUACCUUAGGGAUAACAGCGUAAAAUUUUUGGAGAGUUCAUAUUGAUAAAAGUUUUUGCGACCUCGAUGUUGAAUUAAAAUAAAUUAUUAUUGAAGAUAAUAAUAUA
This 453-nucleotide ribosomal RNA is filed under the name Pachyneuron muscarum. RNAcentral's name for it is "partial 16S ribosomal RNA". Lineage: Eukaryota; Metazoa; Arthropoda; Insecta; Hymenoptera; Pteromalidae. The record is from RNAcentral.